This is a long non-coding RNA of Amblyraja radiata (thorny skate), 157 nucleotides long. RefSeq lists it as uncharacterized. Lineage: Eukaryota; Metazoa; Chordata; Chondrichthyes; Rajiformes; Rajidae. The transcript has 3 exons. The record is from RefSeq and is a predicted model, not a curated record.
CUGGACUCCCCCAACAUCGGAACAUGUUUCCUGCCUCUAGCAUGUCCAAACCCUUAAUAAUCUUAUAUGUUUAAAAAAGAACACCUCUCAUCCUUCUAUACUCCAGACUGUACAAGACCAGGUGCUCCAUUCCCUCAGACUGACAUUCUGGCCAUCC